Molecule: ribosomal RNA, 522 nt
Filed under: uncultured bacterium
Lineage: Bacteria
Description: bacterial SSU rRNA
Rfam family: Bacterial small subunit ribosomal RNA
Source: RNAcentral
CCAGAGAACUUAGCAGAGAUGCUUUGGUGCCUUCGGGGAACCUCGUGAGGACAGGUGCUGCAUGGCUGUCGUCAGCUCGUGUCGUGAAUGUGGUUAAGUCCCGCAACGAGCGCAACCCCUAUCCUUUGUUGCCAGCGAUUCGGUCGGGAACUCAAAGGAGACUGCCGGUGAUAAACCGGAGGAAGGUGGGGAUGACGUCAAGUCAUCAUGGCCCUUACGAGUAGGGCUACACACGUGCUACAAUGGCGCAUACAAAGAGAAGCGACCUCGCGAGAGCAAGCGGACCUCAUAAAGUGCGUCGUAGUCCGGAUUGGAGUCUGCAACUCGACUCCAUGAAGUCGGAAUCGCUAGUAAUCGUAGAUCAGAAUGCUACGGUGAAUACGUUCCCGGGCCUUGUACACACCGCCCGUCACACCAUGGGAGUGGGUUGCAAAAGAAGUAGAUAGCUUAACCUUCGGGAGGGCGUUUACCACUUUGUGAUUCAUGACUGGGGUGAAGUCGUAACAAGGUAAGCGUAGCGAG